GUGCUCACUUCUGCAGCACAUACACUAAAACUGGAACAAUACACAGAAGAUUAGCAUGGCCCCCUGUGCAAGGAUGACACACAAAUUCAUGGUGUUCUAUAUUUAA
Molecule: small nuclear RNA, 106 nt
Organism: Nannospalax galili (Upper Galilee mountains blind mole rat)
Lineage: Eukaryota; Metazoa; Chordata; Mammalia; Rodentia; Spalacidae
Source: Ensembl